RNAcentral lists this ribosomal RNA (961 nucleotides) under uncultured bacterium. Its description in RNAcentral is "bacterial SSU rRNA". It matches the Rfam family "Bacterial small subunit ribosomal RNA", at positions 531 to 1507 of the family's 1533-position model. The record is from RNAcentral.
GGGGAAGGUGUCAGAUUACUGGGCGUAAGGGCGUGUAGGCGGCACGGCAAGUUGGGUGUGAAAGUCCCCGGCUCAACUGGGGAAGGCCACUCAAUACUGUCGAGCUUGAGGCCGGUAGGGGGAGACGGAAUUCCCGGUGUAGUGGUGAAAUGCGUAGAUAUCGGGAGGAACACCGAUGGCGAAAGCGGUCUCCUGGGCCGGUCCUGACGCUGAGGCGCGAAAGCGCGGGGAGCGAACCGGAUUAGAUACCCGGGUAGUCCGCGCCUUAAACGAUGGAUACUUGGUCUGGGGGGUAUCGACCCCUCCCGGGCCGAAGCUAACGCAUUAAGUAUCCCGCCUGGGGAGUACGGCCGCAAGGUUGAAACUCAAAGGAAUUGACGGGGGCCCGCACAAGCAGCGGAGCGUGUGGUUUAAUUCGACGCAACGCGAAGAACCUUACCAGGGCUUGACAUGGCAGAAGUAGGAACCUGAAAGGGCGACGACCCGUUAAGUCGGGAACUGUCACAGAUGCUGCACGGCUGUCGUCAGCUCGUGCCGUGAGGUGUUGGGUUAAGUCCCGCAACGAGCGCAACCCCCACCGCUAGUUGAACAUUCUAGCGGAACUGCCGGGCGAAACCCGGAGGAAGGCGGGGAUGACGUCAAGUCAUCGUGGCUCUUACGCCCUGGGCCACACACACGCUACAAUGGACGGUACAGAGGGCUGCCAAGCCGCAAGGCGGAGCGAAUCCCAAAAAGCCGUCCCCAGUUCAGAUCGCAGGCUGCAACUCGCCUGCGUGAAGUCGGAGUUGCUAGUAACCGCCGGUCAGCACACGGCGGUGAAUGCGUUCCCGGGCCUUGUACACACCGCCCGUCACGUCAUGAAAGCUGGCAAUGCCUGAAGCCGGUGGGCUAACCUUCGGGAGGCAGCCGUCGAAGGCAGGGCUGGUGAUUGGGACGAAGUCGUAACAAGGUAACCAGACCC